GAAAUAGAAGAAACUGAAAUGUUAAGUACAACGUUUUAAUGCACUUGCAGAGUGUCUGCUAAAAAGCGUUCGAAGUCGAAACGUGACUGUGCUUUGUCUGAUACCGGUUUAUUGAACGUAUGGGUGUAUUCGGGCGUAGCUUGUGUCUCCAGCUGGCGAAGAAGCCUAAUUUAUAUCCCACAUGCCUUCACUGCUUCACGUGCACUGAAUGUGUCAUUGAAGAGCGACUACGCGACCAGCGAGACGGAAGGUGCUUUUGUCUUUCCUUCAUUUCAGCCUUACGCUUCCUCGCGGCACUGUAGCGCGUGCACGAUGGAUGCGGCCAGGGUCAUCAGUAUGCUGCUUCUGGUAACGACGCCUCAGAACGAUGGAAGAGCUUUACUCCCUGAUGAAGACAAGAUAGGGUGUGUGGGGGGUGUGGUUAUGUUAAAAUUCCCUCUUCCUGGAAUACCGAACACCUAUGUCACUCUUGUGGAUGAUGAUAAAUUCAUCAGUCUUUGCAACAUCGGAGCAAGAGAAAUCCCACCAUGCUCUUCAGAGGGAAAAGGAUACCCAUGCCCAUCCAAUGAAACAUUUGUGUGCAUGGCUACAGGAGCGCUACACUAUGUCAGCAUGGAAACUCGCCACAACCAGAGUCUGCGUUUGGAAAGUGAGUUUCUUUCCAUGAGGAAAGAUCUUUUAGUGAAAGACUGCUCAUUCACGAGUACGAGUUUGAUUGCAAGUGAAGCCUUCACAAUCAUGGAACCCACAUGGCCACCUGGUAAGAGAUAGUAAAUCAAUAAAAUAGUUCAUAUUUUUCA
This 800-nucleotide long non-coding RNA is filed under the name Scleropages formosus (Asian bonytongue). RNAcentral describes it as "lncRNA (ENSSFOG00015028688.1)". Lineage: Eukaryota; Metazoa; Chordata; Actinopteri; Osteoglossiformes; Osteoglossidae. The record is from RNAcentral.